This is a non-coding RNA of Pterocles gutturalis (yellow-throated sandgrouse), 572 nucleotides long. The record is from the annotation of a RefSeq genome assembly. Lineage: Eukaryota; Metazoa; Chordata; Aves; Pterocliformes; Pteroclidae.
AUGCCGGGGAAAAGAAGGAAGUGUAAAGUGAAAUACAAGAAGAGAGAUGUGGAAAAAACAAAACAAAACAAUGGUGAAAUGGCGUUAGAGUGUGAGCAGUCAGAAACUAGAAAAAUUGCAUUUGGAAGGGGAACCAAACUUGUUGUGAUGCACGAUGUUACUCCAUCUCCUUCAGUCUACAGGCUGACCACUAAAGAUGAUGAGGAUUUGGAAAUGUGCCUUAUCACAGAUUACUCUCCGGAAAAGCUUACUCUUAACUGGGCUAAGGGCCAGACAGAUGCUGUUGUGGAGGUGGCAACAUCCGACAACAAAGAGGAAGCAAGCUACCUGGCCACUUACUGGGCCAAGAAAGAUGAAAUGCAGUGCGGUGCAAAUCACGAGGGCUUUGGAGAACUGGAGGGCGAGGAUCCUGAAAGUGGUGCCAGGGCUGUCUGUGUUACAGGGGUAUCUCUACACUUCAGGACAGAUGAAAACCUGAACAUGCUGUCUUUAUCACAGCUGGGCCUGAAAAUAAUUUUAAUGAAAGGAAUAAUUUUCAAUGUGCUGAUGACAAUGGUUAUGUGGAAAAAAAA